GUUUGGAAUCUGUUUCGAAAGUCUCAGAAUUGUAACCUGUAGAUGUGAUAAUCGGUUUGGUGAUGUGCGUUGUUCAAGUGCUCUGGAACGAGCUGCCUGAGAGGGUGAUAGCCCCGUACAGCGACGUGCAUUUGCCCGGUAAGAUUUCAUAUCGACGAGUCGAGUUGCUUGGGACUGCAGCUCAAAGUGGGUGGUAAAUUCCAUCUAAAGCUAAAUACCGGUGGGAGACCGAUAGCGAACAAGUACCGUGAGGGAAAGAUGAAAAGAACUUUGAAAAGAGAGUUAAAAGUACCUGAACUUGCUGAAAAGGAAAAGUAGUGGUGGCAGUGUUUGAGCUUUGUGGGGUUGGUUGUGGCUUUAUUGCUGCGGCUGUUUCCUUGCUUAGCUUGUGCCAGGGUGGGUUUCUGUUUGCAGGAGAGGGUUUGCUGCGCUGCUUCCAAGCAAUGCUCAUCCACGCUGCGAAUGAGACCGAGGUUAUACCGAUCCUGGCGAAAUGCUCCUCUACAUCCCGUCUUGAAACACGGACCAAGGAGUCUGACAUGUGUGCGAGUGCUCUGGGUGAACCCCACAGCGCGGAAUGAAGGUGAAGGAAGUCUUGGGCUUCUGAGGUAGGAGUGUCUYAGGACAUGCACUACCGACCGACCAUGAUCCUUCGGGUGAAAGGUUUGAGUGUGAGCACACCUGUCGGGACCCGAAAGAUGGUGAACUAUCCCUGAGUAGGGCGAAGCCAGGGGAAACUCUGGUGGAGGCUCGAAGCGAUUCU
This 763-nucleotide ribosomal RNA is filed under the name Poteriospumella sp. Its description in RNAcentral is "eukaryotic LSU rRNA". It matches the Rfam family "Eukaryotic large subunit ribosomal RNA", at positions 113 to 887 of the family's 3401-position model. The record is from RNAcentral. Lineage: Eukaryota; Chrysophyceae; Chromulinales; Dinobryaceae.